GAAGUCAAUUAACAUGAUUAUGGUUUUAAAUACCGUAUAUUGUCAAAGUGGAUUGAUUAACAUGAUAUUAUUGACUGGUUAUUUUUGCAUUUUAGGGCUUGCAAUUUAUCAGGAUAAUUGGUAAAUUAGUAUACGUUGUUGAGGCGCACAAAGCGGUUAGCCGCUUGCUUCCAACGAAAAUUAAUUAUAAAAAGUUGUUGACAAGAUGUUGAUAACUUGAUAUGAUGAUUAAGUUGCGUUGAGGUAAUCAACGAACGAUUUAGACCUUUGAAAACUGAACAAAGUUUCGACGAAUCAAAUGUGUAGGGUCUCUUGAUUUUGAAUCAAGAGCAAAACAUUUGCGAAGUCAAUUCGCUAGCAAAUAAAUUUUAGUACAACAUUAAAUGAGCUUUUUAGAACUCAUCAUUAAUUUGAGAGUUUGAUCCUGGCUCAGGACGAACGCUGGCGGCGUGCCUAAUACAUGCAAGUCGAACGAACUCUGGUAUUGAUUGGUGCUUGCAUCAUGAUUUACAUUUGAGUGAGUGGCGAACUGGUGAGUAACACGUGGGAAACCUGCCCAGAAGCGGGGGAUAACACCUGGAAACAGAUGCUAAUACCGCAUAACAACUUGGACCGCAUGGUCCGAGUUUGAAAGAUGGCUUCGGCUAUCACUUUUGGAUGGUCCCGCGGCGUAUUAGCUAGAUGGUGGGGUAACGGCUCACCAUGGCAAUGAUACGUAGCCG
RNAcentral lists this ribosomal RNA (722 nucleotides) under Lactiplantibacillus plantarum ST-III. RNAcentral's name for it is "bacterial SSU rRNA". The stretch from base 407 to 722 matches the Rfam family "Bacterial small subunit ribosomal RNA", at positions 1 to 289 of the family's 1533-position model. Lineage: Bacteria; Bacillati; Bacillota; Bacilli; Lactobacillales; Lactobacillaceae. The record is from RNAcentral.